RNAcentral lists this ribosomal RNA (446 nucleotides) under uncultured bacterium. RNAcentral's name for it is "bacterial SSU rRNA". It matches the Rfam family "Bacterial small subunit ribosomal RNA", at positions 329 to 792 of the family's 1533-position model. The record is from RNAcentral.
GCCCAGACUCCUACGGGAGGCAGCAGUGAGGAAUAUUGCACAAUGGGGGAAACCCUGAUGCAGCGACGCCGCGUGAGUGAAGAAGUAUUUCGGUAUGUAAAGCUCUAUCAGCAGGGAAGAAGAUGACGGUACCUGACUAAGAAGCCCCGGCUAACUACGUGCCAGCAGCCGCGGUAAUACGUAGGGGGCAAGCGUUAUCCGGAUUUACUGGGUGUAAAGGGAGCGUAGACGGCAGGGCAAGUCUGGAGUGAAAGCCCGGGGCCCAACCGCGGGACUGCUUUGGAAACUGCCAUGCUAGAGUGCUGGAGAGGUAAGCGGAAUUCCUAGUGUAGCGGUGAAAUGCGUAGAUAUUAGGAGGAACACCAGUGUCGAAGGCGGCUUACUGGACAGUAACUGACGUUGAGGCUCGAAAGCGUGGGGAGCAAACAGGAUUAGAUACCCGCGUA